UCUGCUCGCUCUCCAGCUUACGGCACAUUUCCGCCACUUGUAAGACCUUCUGACCCUGGAUCAGCACAGAAAGGAUGACAUCAGAAAUAAUUUCAUACCACGUGGGCCCACACAGAGUACAGGAAAGGGAAACCCCCAAAAAGCACAACAGGGUAUAUUGCUCACGAGAAGUCUGAUUGCUCAACAGUUUGUAAAGUUAUGGGAUCAGAACAGACAGCUGUGGACAGACAGGAAGUGAGACUGUUACCUUGGCGAUGAUCGCCUGCAGUUUCUUCACAGGAUGGUCGCUCUGCAUGGUGAGAUCGAUCAGCUGUUUCCUCGCUGCUCUCUGACUGGCUGUCAGCUGAUCCCGCAGCACUUGAGUCCGGCUUUUCACCUGAUCCCUGGCCUCUGUCAGAUCUCUGUCCACCGACACGUUCCCCAUCUGGAGGUUGGUCAAUUUCACCUGUGCGCCGGCGACGUCUUCCUGAGAGAGGAGGAGACGACCGGGCGCAGGAAGGGGACGCUGGCCUCCUCAUCACAGGGGGACGGCACAGACAUCCGGUUCUUUUUCUUCAUCUUCUCCAGCCUCUCAGCCUCCUCCAGGCCAAGAGAUGCUAACUGAACACAGAAAGGAGACAGGACGUUUACACAUACAAGGAAUUUGCUAUUUUGUUAUCUGGGUUUUAGUGCAUGUAAACGUUCUGCAAAGGCUAGAAAAAUCCCUAUGUUCCCUCCAGAGGGAGUUUCUAUCCCACAAUGACUGAACCCAGUCCAGGUUUUGUCUCGGAUUACAAACUUGUCAAUGGUAUUUUCUGACUGAAACAGGAGAGAGGAGUGUUUUAGUGUGAGGUACCCUCUCGUUAUGAGAGAUCUGGUACACUGUGAUGGUGUCGUUGUACAGCUUCUCGAUAUCCUCCAUCACUUCUUUGUGCUUCUUCACCACAGCGAACGAGGUGUCCUUCAGAUCAUCUAGUUUAUGCUUCGAUUGUGACAACAUCUGCUCCCUGGAGAAAAACACACACAAUACCUUCCUUUAAAACAACAAAUCUGUCUGUCCUAUGUGUGUCCGGAUGCAGGGUCGGGGGGGUAAAAUGUAAUCCUUCACAGUGACUAGUUUCCUGUCAAAAAUGUAAUGUAAUCUGAGUACCACAAUCUAAAAGUACUUUUGGAUUACCUCAAUUUCAUCUACACUACUUUUACUGAAGAAAAAUAUCUGAGUACUUCUUACGCCUCUGCUGAGGACCAAUGGGAGGGUUAGGGCGGGAUAGUGUUGAGCUUUAACCUCGUCACACUGACCUGUCAGAGCUGAACCUGGAGGUCAGCUGCUUCAGGAGGUCCUCCCACUGCUGCUGCUCGAACUCCAGAUGUCUCUGCUGCUGCGCCCACAGCCGCUCCAAGUGCUGCAGGUGAAGGCGCCGCACCUGAGCCGACUGACGCUCCGCAUCCUGCAGGUCGCGCUCCAGGUUCUGCAGCACAGUAAAGGAGGUGCGAGUCGGCGAGUUGAAGAGGGAAGCGGAGGAGGUGCGCUCACCUUGAUGACGUUGUCCACGCCGUCCAGCUGCCUCUCAAACGUCUGGCUGAGCACCGUCAGAUCACUGCGCAGCUCGGCGGCUCGGGUCUGACGGAGGAUGGACCUCCAGCCCUCGUUCAGCUUCAGCAGGUUCACCGCGGCAUUCUUCUCCUCCUUCUGCAGCUUGUCCUGAUAACAGAGACAACAAGGUGUUCAGUGACUUAAGGAUAAAGAUGUGCUCCCUGAAAUACUGAUCCAUCAAUACUGAUAUUUUCUGGCUUUGUGCAUGUUGGGUGUAUAAACACAUUUUUAAUCUGAAAGGACAAUAUUUUAACAUAUUUUUCCUAAUCAUUGAGCUUAUGAACUUAAGGGUUCUCAUUAUUUUAACAACUCUGAACAGUGAGUGAUUCAUAAAUAGGAAUAUAAAUGAUAGUGACCUUCAGAAACAGGGUGAGGACCUCCUCCUUCUUCCUGUUCAUCUCCUCCUCGGCCUGAGCUCUCUGCUGCAGGAACAGCAGCCUCUCCUCCUCCGUCUUUCCUCCACCUUUACCUUCUCCACCUUUCUUGGCUUUCUUCGGCAUGAUCGUUCCUCCUCUUCCUCACUCUGCUGCUCUGUUUGAUAUUGAGGGCAGAACACAGGAAAAGAAUCAAUAUCUGAAUAUGUUAACCUUUUCUUUUCAUUGUUGUUAUAUUAAUGACAUUUGUUCCUUUUGGAUAAAUAUCAGGCUUGUGAUUACGUUUGAAACAGGGCAAAAAAUAACACAUAAGACUCACCAUUAAAGUGAUGAACACAUGAAUGUAUAAAUCAUUUCAAUACUAAUACAAAAAUAACAAUGAUUACAAAAAAAGAUACCAAUAAUAAAUAUUAAAAGAGAAAAGACCACCCUAAAGAAAUUUCACAAAUACAACUAUGAAAUGAGAAUGUAAAUCUUUUGAAAGCUGGACUUGUAACAGAGCAUUCUCCACUUGUUUUAGUACUUACUAUUAGCAUUAGCUAGCCUAGCCUAAUGUAAUGCUAGUUAGCCAAAGUGAGCUAAUGUAAAACCAGACUUUAACGUCUCCUUUUAGCGGAAAUGUAACACCCAAAACAAAACGUCGGUCAGACACUAAGAGCUUCGUCUUGUGUAGAACACAUCGAAAGUGUAAAACAAAUAACUUACUUUAGGGAUCAAGCUGUCGGACUUUGUUUACGCUUCGACCUGCUAGUGUGUGUUUGUGAUCCGUCUCCAUGGCAACAGCUACAGAGCAUUUUGUCUGACACCGAUUAAAAGCAAGAAUAAAUCAAUUUAAUAAAAACCUAUUUAUCCUUUGGGAGUUUGCUCUGCAACAGUUGAAAAGUGUACAAACACAAAAAGAUUAAGAUUUGUUAAAUAUUAGGUGCAUUUGUUUUGUAUCAGAUUUGUUAUG
Long non-coding RNA from Eleginops maclovinus (Patagonian blennie), 2899 nucleotides. RefSeq lists it as uncharacterized. The transcript is spliced from 3 exons. Lineage: Eukaryota; Metazoa; Chordata; Actinopteri; Perciformes; Eleginopidae. The record is from RefSeq and is a predicted model, not a curated record.